CCUACGGGUGGCAGCAGUGAGGAAUAGUGGUCAAUGGGCGCGAGCCUGAACCAGCCAAGUAGCGUGAAGGAUGACUGCCCUACGGGUUGUAAACUUCUUUUAUAAAGGAAUAAAGUGAGGCACGUGUGCCUUUUUGUAUGUACUGUAUGAAUAAGGAUCGGCUAACUCCGUGCCAGCAGCCGCGGUAAGACGGAGGAUCCGAGCGUUAUCCGGAUUUAUUGGGUUGAAAGGGAGCGUAGAUGGGUUGUUAAGUCAGUUGUGUAAGUUUGCGGCUCAACCGUAAAAUUGCAAUUGAUACUGGCAGUCUUGCGUACAGUUGCGGUAGGCGGCAUUCGUGUUGUAGCGG
This 346-nucleotide ribosomal RNA is filed under the name uncultured bacterium. RNAcentral describes it as "partial 16S ribosomal RNA". It matches the Rfam family "Bacterial small subunit ribosomal RNA", at positions 338 to 681 of the family's 1533-position model. The record is from RNAcentral.